AAAGCAAGUUGGGCAAUCGCGAGUGUGAUCGCUUCGGUGAUUAGAUUCGAGGAAUGUCCGGACUCCAUCGAGCAGGGUAGCGGCUAACAGCCGUCCGUCAAGCAAUUGGCGAGGAAUAGGGCCACAGAGACGAGACUAGCAUGUGGGCACUUCGGUGCACUGAUACGGCCACUUCCGUAUGGCGUUAUGUUCACAUAACAGCAUGCUAGGGUGAAACGCGGUAACCUCUAUCCGGAGCAACAUCAAAUAGGCAUACACUUCCUUUCGAGGAAUAAGGGCGGCUCGUCUGAGUAUGCGGGUAGAUGGCUUGAGCGCUUUAGUAAUAAAGUGCCUAGAGGAAUGAUUGCCGACUGGGUAACCAGUUUACAGAAUCCGGCUUAUAGACUUGCUUUGUCU
RNAcentral lists this RNase P RNA (396 nucleotides) under Pelistega sp. RNAcentral's name for it is "RNase P RNA component class A". It matches the Rfam family "Bacterial RNase P class A". Rfam says of the family: Ribonuclease P (RNase P) is a ubiquitous endoribonuclease, found in archaea, bacteria and eukarya as well as chloroplasts and mitochondria. Its best characterised activity is the generation of mature 5'-ends of tRNAs by cleaving the 5'-leader elements of precursor-tRNAs. The record is from RNAcentral. Lineage: Bacteria; Pseudomonadati; Pseudomonadota; Betaproteobacteria; Burkholderiales; Alcaligenaceae.